RNAcentral lists this ribosomal RNA (407 nucleotides) under uncultured bacterium. RNAcentral's name for it is "partial 16S ribosomal RNA". It matches the Rfam family "Bacterial small subunit ribosomal RNA", at positions 28 to 526 of the family's 1533-position model. The record is from RNAcentral.
GAUGAACGCUGGCGGCGUGCUUAACACAUGCAAGUCGAGCGGAGCGGCGGACGGGUGAGUAAUGCCUAGGAAUCUGCCUGGUAGUGGGGGAUAACGUCCGGAAACGGGCGCUAAUACCGCAUAAUAUCAGAUGAGCCUAGGUCGGAUUAGCUAGUUGGUGGGGUAAAGGCCUACCAAGGCGACGAUCCGUAACUGGUCUGAGAGGAUGAUCAGUCACACUGGAACUGAGAAACGGUCCAGACUCCUAAGAGAGGCAGCAGUGGGGAAUAUUGGACAAUGGGCGAAAGCCUGAUCCAGCCAUGCCGCGUGUGUGAAGAAGGGCUUCGGAUUGUAAAGCACUUUAAGUUGGGAGGCGUUACCCGCAGAAGAAGCACCGGCUAACUCCGUGCCAGCAGCCGCGGUAAUAC